UACGGGGGGGGCAAGCGUUGUUCGGAAUUACUGGGCGUAAAGGGCUCGUAGGCGGCCAACUAAGUCAGACGUGAAAUCCCCAGGCUCAACCUGGGAACUGCGUCUGAUACUGGAUGGCUUGAAUUCGGGAGAGGGAUGCAGAAUUCCAGGUGUAGCGGUGAAAUGCGUAGAUAUCUGGAGGAAUACCGGUGGCGAAGGCGGCAUCCUGGACCGAUAUUGACGCUGAUGAGCGAAAGCUAGGGGAGCAAACGGG
RNAcentral lists this ribosomal RNA (253 nucleotides) under uncultured bacterium. Its description in RNAcentral is "partial 16S ribosomal RNA". It matches the Rfam family "Bacterial small subunit ribosomal RNA", at positions 524 to 776 of the family's 1533-position model. The record is from RNAcentral.